RNAcentral lists this transfer RNA (77 nucleotides) under Burkholderia sp. Bp9031. RNAcentral's name for it is "tRNA-Met". It matches the Rfam family "tRNA". Rfam says of the family: Transfer RNA (tRNA) molecules are approximately 80 nucleotides in length. The record is from RNAcentral. RNAcentral also lists the same sequence under 4 other names. Lineage: Bacteria; Pseudomonadati; Pseudomonadota; Betaproteobacteria; Burkholderiales; Burkholderiaceae.
GGGCCCGUAGCUCAGUUGGUUAGAGCAGUCGACUCAUAAUCGAUUGGUCGCCGGUUCAAGUCCGGCCAGGCCCACCA